CCUACGGGAGGCAGCAGUGAGGAAUAUUGGUCAAUGGGCGGAAGCCUGAACCAGCCAAGUCGCGUGAGGGAGUAAGGCCCUACGGGUCGUAAACCUCUUUUGCCGGGGAGCAGUGCCCAGCUAGUGAGCGGGGAGGGAGCGUACCCGGAGAAAAAGCAUCGGCUAACUCCGUGCCAGCAGCCGCGGUAAUCCGGAGGAUGCGAGCGUUCUCCGGAGUUAUUGGGGUUAAAGGGUGCGUAGGCGUGCCGUCAGGCAGGCGGUAAAAGUGCGGGGCUCAACCCCGCCGAGCCGUCGGAACCGGGGGCCUUGAGUACCGGAGAAGUACGCGGAAUGCGUGGUGUAGCGGUGAAAUGCAUAGAUAUCACGCAGAACCCCGAUUGCGAAGGCAGCGUACCGGCCGGUCACUGACGCUGAGGCACGAAAGCGCGGGUAUCGAACAGGAUUAGAUACCCCAGUAGUC
Molecule: ribosomal RNA, 460 nt
Filed under: uncultured bacterium
Lineage: Bacteria
Description: partial 16S ribosomal RNA
Rfam family: Bacterial small subunit ribosomal RNA
Source: RNAcentral